Molecule: ribosomal RNA, 427 nt
Filed under: uncultured bacterium
Lineage: Bacteria
Description: partial 16S ribosomal RNA
Rfam family: Bacterial small subunit ribosomal RNA
Source: RNAcentral
GUGGGGAAUAUUGGGCAAUGGGGGCAACCCUGACCCAGCGACGCCGCGUGGGGGAAGACGGCCUUCGGGUUGUAAACCUCUUUUGUACGGGAAGAAGGAAGUGACGGUACUGUACGAAUAAGUCCCGGCUAACUACGUGCCAGCAGCCGCGGUAAUACGUAGGGGACGAGCGUUGUCCGGAAUUACUGGGCGUAAAGGGCGCGCAGGCUGUGCUGCAAGUCAGCUGGUAAAUGUCUGGGCUUAACCCGGGCAUGCGGUUGAGACUGCGGUGCUGGAGUGCUGUAGAGGCAAGUGGAAUUCCCAGUGUAGCGGUGAAAUGCGUAGAUAUUGGGAAGAACACCGGUGGCGAAGGCGACUUGCUGGGCAGCAACUGACGCUGAGGCGCGAAAGCCAGGGGAGCAAACGGGAUUAGAUACCCUUGUAAUCC